This 522-nucleotide ribosomal RNA is filed under the name uncultured bacterium. It matches the Rfam family "Bacterial small subunit ribosomal RNA", at positions 339 to 863 of the family's 1533-position model. The record is from RNAcentral.
CUACGGGAGGCAGCAGUGAGGAAUAUUGGUCAAUGGGCGCAAGCCUGAACCAGCCAUGCCGCGUGCAGGAUGACGGUCCUAUGGAUUGUAAACUGCUUUUGUACAGGAAGAAACACUGGUUCGUGAACCAGCUUGACGGUACUGUAAGAAUAAGGAUCGGCUAACUCCGUGCCAGCAGCCGCGGUAAUACGGAGGAUCCAAGCGUUAUCCGGAAUCAUUGGGUUUAAAGGGUCCGUAGGCGGUCAGAUAAGUCAGUGGUGAAAGCCCAUCGCUCAACGGUGGAACGGCCAUUGAUACUGUCUGACUUGAAUUAUUAGGAAGUAACUAGAAUAUGUAGUGUAGCGGUGAAAUGCUUAGAGAUUACAUGGAAUACCAAUUGCGAAGGCAGGUUACUACUAAUGGAUUGACGCUGAUGGACGAAAGCGUGGGUAGCGAACAGGAUUAGAUACCCUGGUAGUCCACGCCGUAAACGAUGGAUACUAGCUGUUGGGAGCAAUCUCAGUGGCUAAGCGAAAGUGAUAA